Molecule: long non-coding RNA, 2021 nt
Organism: Lotus japonicus
Lineage: Eukaryota; Viridiplantae; Streptophyta; Magnoliopsida; Fabales; Fabaceae
Exons: 2
Source: RefSeq, a predicted model, not a curated record
UCAUAGCAAAGCAUAUUGCAAUUGGAAACUGUCUUCUUCUGAAUUUAAUUGGAAAUUUGGAAUCAGAAGGAACCAAGUCCAUUCUUAAAAUGUGCACUUUGUCACUGACAUUUGUUCCCGUGAUAACAGUUGCACCAAUAAAACGUUCACCAAGUUCAUCCACAAUUAACCUGGUUCCAUUGCAUAAACUUGCUGCUUGGUCUAUAUUUCUCAAAAGCAUGAUUGGAGUACCAACUUUCAAUAAAAGUUUGUGGUUAGGCAUUCCUGAACUUUUAGUGUCGUUCAAAAAUUCGGUGGUAAACCACUCACCUUGGAUUUCAGAAUCUUCAUCAGAUCGCAAGGCAGAGUCGGAGCUCAGAUAUUCAUGCUCUGGUGCAGCUAUCAUCCCAAGCAUGACUAUUUGGGAUGAGCAGAUCUGGCGGGAUUUGGACUUCGUACUCUCCUGCUCCGGAAUCUGGAUGGUCGCCAUUUCCAAUUUUAAGAAUCCAAUCUGCAAAGUCUUUGAUUUCUUUUGCUUCAUCAGCCGUCUCAGCUGCGGUUAGGCGCAUGUUCUUAGUCAAUUUCAUAACUUUGCAGUGUUUCCACAAUGAGGAAGAGUUUACAGUAGAUUCGACGAUUUCCUGUCUGCUUCCUCUAGUUAUUACAGGUAGUAUUUGUCUAAAAUCACCUCCAAGUAUUACUACUUUUCCUCCAAAAGGCUUAUGGGCGUUAUCUUCAUUCUUCGACCUCAUUAAAUCUCGGAGUGUAACGUCUAAAGCUUCGAAACAAUACUUUUUCAACAUUGGAGCUUCAUCCCAUAUAAUAAGACUUGUUUCAAGUAGAAGUUUUGCUCGUAGACUUCCCUGCUUUAUAUUACAUGUCGAGGUCUCUGUAGCAUCUAAUGGAAUGCAGAAUUUAGAAUGAGCUGUUCUGCCUCCAGGCAAGAGUAAUGAUGCUAUGCCACUGGAAGCAACGGUAAGAACAAUUAGUCCUUUGGAUCUAAGUGACGCUGAUAAAGUGUUCCACACAAAAGUCUUUCCAGUUCCACCAUAUCCAUAUAAAAAGUAGAAGCCUCCUGAGUUUGACAACACAGAUGUGACAACCCUCUCAUAUACAGACUUUUGCUCAGGUGUAAGCAUACUAAGCAACUCUUCAUAUUGUACCUUUAAUGCAUCUUUGUCAUAGUUUAGUUCAUCAACAAUAAAUCUAUUGUCAAAUACUUCAUCAUAUUCUGGAGUUGGCAAACAUGGGUAAUCAUUUAAUGACCUACCAUUUCUUUGAAGCAACUUCUCAAUUUCAAUGAUACAUAAAAUUUUCAAAUCAGCAUCUGCGAUUCGUAGGCCUACAGUCGAGAAUAAAGAUUAACAAAUUAUUUUUAACUGUAUCGAAUAUAACUUAUGUUGUUCACAGAUAAUUCAUUUAUAUUGCGCAGUUUGAUUUUUUAAAGUUGUGAAUUUCAAUUAAAUUAAAUCCAAUCAAUAAUUAACUUAUUAUAACAGCAUUUUAAAUCUUAAUAAUAUAACUUGUAAAAUUUCGUACCUGGAUUAUGCAAUUCUUUUCUUCUAUGGUGUAGAAUGCCUUCUGAUAAGAGUAGCCAACAUGAUUCCCAAACAUCAAUAGGUUUUGAGAUUGAAUUCAUCAUCAACAUUCUUACAAAGAGUUUCCUCAUUUGUUCUCCGGAAGCUAAAUCAGAGACUUCUUUAAUUGCAUCAAUAUAUUCUUUGUCAUCUGUUAGCAAUCCCAAUUGAUCGCAUGCUUCCUUAAAAGUAUCAUAUGUUACUCCUUUCACUGUUCUGAUACUUCUAUAUGAUGUACAACCCUUUUGCAUAGUUAGUAGGAUUCUCAUGUAAUAUAACUCACCGAUGCCUGGAGGGAUAUACUGUAGUCUGCCAAUUUUAAAACCCCUCUUUCUUGGUUUCCAGAUUCUAUCUUUUUUAUGAUAAACAAAUCUACUGGGAAAUUCAGCAUAUGUUAGAUCCUGCCCUUCUCGGUAUUUUUCAUUAGCUGCAAACCAAGCCAUAAACAUUGUGGAUUUUGUACCA